AACAAACCGCCGAAUGGACAGGGUUUUCCCUGUACCGCGGACAGAGUCUCCCCUGUACAUUCAAGGCGUCGCAAUUAAUACAAUGUACGAAUUUCCAACCAGAAACACAUUUCAAUCAAGAUUGCAUAAUGGAAGGUAUCAAACAACAUAACACAUCCUAUAUUAUUACAUUCAUUCAUAUUCAUGCAUUUUACACAUCAACUACCAUUCCUUUUUCAUCCAAAUGCAAUCUAAAUUAUUACAACAUUUAUAUCUUUAAUACAUCAUGUUACAUUGUGUUCUUUUCAUUUCUUUAACCCCUAAGCUAUGUCGACGGGGUACUGCUAGCUCUGGUCUGUGGGGUAGGGCGCUAUCUACGGAGCUACGCCCUUUUCUCGCGCUGCCGUGCCGCUCACGUGCGAACAUGU
RNAcentral lists this long non-coding RNA (407 nucleotides) under Ananas comosus (pineapple). Its description in RNAcentral is "long non-coding RNA (ACOM_LNC044022)". Lineage: Eukaryota; Viridiplantae; Streptophyta; Magnoliopsida; Poales; Bromeliaceae. The record is from RNAcentral.